CCUACGGGAGGCAGCAGUGAGGAAUAUUGGUCAAUGGACGAGAGUCUGAACCAGCCAAGUAGCGUGAAGGAUGACUGCCCUAUGGGUUGUAAACUUCUUUUAUAAAGGAAUAAAACGAGGCACGUGUGCCUUUUUGCAUGUCCUUUAUGAAUAAGGCUCGGCUAACUCCGUGCCAGCAGCCGCGGUAAUACGGAGGAUCCGAGCGUUAUCCGGAUUUAUUGGGGUUAAAGGGAGCGUAGAUGGGUUGUUAAGUCAGUUGUGAAAGUUUGCGGCUCAACCGUAAAAUUGCAAUUGAUACUGGCAGUCUUGAGUACAGUUGAGGUAGGCGGAAUUCGUGGUGUAGCGGUGAAAUGCUUAGAUAUCACGAAGAACCCCGAUUGCGAAGGCAGCUUACUAAACUGUGACUGACAUUGAGGCUCGAAAGUGUGGGUAGCAAACAGGAUUAGAUACCCUAGUAGUC
This 460-nucleotide ribosomal RNA is filed under the name uncultured bacterium. RNAcentral describes it as "partial 16S ribosomal RNA". It matches the Rfam family "Bacterial small subunit ribosomal RNA", at positions 338 to 795 of the family's 1533-position model. The record is from RNAcentral.